Molecule: ribosomal RNA, 500 nt
Filed under: uncultured archaeon
Lineage: Archaea
Description: bacterial SSU rRNA
Rfam family: Archaeal small subunit ribosomal RNA
Source: RNAcentral
CCCCACUGCUAUCGGGAUGGGACUAAGACAUGCUAGUCGUGCGCUUUCUAGCCAUGCUGGAAGCGCGGCACACAGCUCAGUAGCACGUGGCUAACCUGCCCUUGGGACGGGAACAACCCCGGGAAACUGGGGCCAAUUCCCGAUAGGUGAAGAUCCCUGGAAUGGGUUUUCGCCCAAAAGACGUUUGGGUCAUGCUUUCAGACGUUGCCCAAGGAUGGGGCCGCGGCCGAUCAGGUUGUUGGUGAGGUAACGGCUCACCAAGCCUUUGACCGGUUCGGGCCGUGAGAGCGGUAGCCCGGAGAUGGGCACUGAGACAAGGGCCCAGGCCCUACGGGGCGCAGCAGUCGCGAAAACUUCGCAAUAAGCGAAAGCUUGACGGGGCCAUCCCGAGUGCCAUCUGCUGAGGAUGGCUUUUACCCAGUAUAGAUAGCUGGGGGAAUAAGGAGAGGGCAAGUCUGGUGUCAGCCGCCGCGGUAAUACCAGCUCUCCGAGUUGUGGGG